RNAcentral lists this ribosomal RNA (478 nucleotides) under uncultured organism. RNAcentral describes it as "partial 16S ribosomal RNA". It matches the Rfam family "Bacterial small subunit ribosomal RNA", at positions 331 to 800 of the family's 1533-position model. The record is from RNAcentral.
GUACACUCCUGCGGGAGGCAGCAGUGGGGAAUUUUGGACAAUGGGCGAAAGCCUGAUCCAGCAAUGCCGCGUGAGUGAAGAAGGCCUUCGGGUUGUAAAGCUCUUUUGUCAGGGAAGAAACGGUGAAAGCUAAUAUCUUUUGCUAAUGACGGUACCUGAAGAAUAAGCACCGGCUAACUACGUGCCAGCAGCCGCGGUAAUACGUAGGGUGCAAGCGUUAAUCGGAAUUACUGGGCGUAAAGCGUGCGCAGGCGGUUUUGUAAGUCUGAUGUGAAAUCCCCGGGCUCAACCUGGGAAUUGCAUUGGAGACUGCAAGGCUAGAAUCUGGCAGAGGGGGGUAGAAUUCCACGUGUAGCAGUGAAAUGCGUAGAUAUGUGGAGGAACACCGAUGGCGAAGGCAGCCCCCUGGGUCAAGAUUGACGCUCAUGCACGAAAGCGUGGGGAGCAAACAGGAUUAGAUACCCCUGUAGUCCCAUGA